GACGAACGCUGGCGGCGUGCUUAACACAUGCAGGUCGAACGGAAAGGCCCUGCUUGCAGGGUACUCGAGUGGCGAACGGGUGAGUAACACGUGGGUGAUCUGCCCUGCACUUCGGGAUAAGCCUGGGAAACUGGGUCUAAUACCGGAUAGGAGCCAUUUUUAGUGUGAUGGUUGGAAAGUUUUUUCGGUGUAGGAUGAGCUCGCGGCCUAUCAGCUUGUUGGUGGGGUAAUGGCCUACCAAGGCGGCGACGGGUAGCCGGCCUGAGAGGGUGGACGGCCACAUUGGGACUGAGAUACGGCCCAGACUCCUACGGGAGGCAGCAGUGGGGAAUAUUGCACAAUGGGCGCAAGCCUGAUGCAGCGACGCCGCGUGGGGGAUGACGGCCUUCGGGUUGUAAACUCCCUUCGCUAGGGACGAAGCUUUUUGUGACGGUACCUAGAUAAGAAGCACCGGCUAACUACGUG
This 465-nucleotide ribosomal RNA is filed under the name uncultured bacterium. Its description in RNAcentral is "partial 16S ribosomal RNA". It matches the Rfam family "Bacterial small subunit ribosomal RNA", at positions 28 to 507 of the family's 1533-position model. The record is from RNAcentral.